RNAcentral lists this ribosomal RNA (253 nucleotides) under uncultured bacterium. Its description in RNAcentral is "partial 16S ribosomal RNA". It matches the Rfam family "Bacterial small subunit ribosomal RNA", at positions 524 to 776 of the family's 1533-position model. The record is from RNAcentral.
GACGUAGGGGGCCAGCGUUGCUCGGAAUUACUGGGCGUAAAGGGUCCGUAGGCGGUGCGGUAAGUCGGGAGUGAAAUCUCUGGGCUUAACUCAGAGGCUGCUUCCGAAACUACCGUGCUAGAGUGCGAGAGAGGCAAGUGGAAUUGCGGGUGUAGCGGUGAAAUGCGCAGAGACCCGGAGGAACACCAGUGGCGAAGGCGGCUUCCUGGUCUGCGACUGACGCUGUGGCGCGAAAGCUAGGGGAGCAAACGGG